Cygnus olor (mute swan) is the source of this 2960-nucleotide long non-coding RNA. RefSeq lists it as uncharacterized. The transcript has 4 exons. NCBI's taxonomy places the organism in Eukaryota, Metazoa, Chordata, Aves, Anseriformes, Anatidae. The record is from RefSeq and is a predicted model, not a curated record.
GUAGACACUUUAAAGACUAGAUUUAGCUGCAGUUGCAUUAGCUUAGAUAAUGGAAGAAUUUUUCUUCAUUGAAAAUGCUCCCUGUCGCUUAAGAAGAACUCACUGAGGCAGCCUGCCAUCUAGCUUUUUCACAGCAAAAUAGGCUUGCAGACUGCAGAUGAGAGACUCGGGAGCAGAGACAAUUUUAACUUAGCCAUCCCUAAUUUAUCUCAAGCUUUUUCAAUUCGUCUUUACUGCUCUGUGCACACUGGAACACCAGAUUGUCAACCCCUGGGAACAGAAUGUAACCAGGGACCUAGAGAGCUGUCACAUCCUGAGAAAUAUUUAAAUUGUGCUGAUUUUCUUCUGGAGUGCUGAGCAGAGGGAAUGAAACUCUCCAUCAAGUCAUAGCUUUGCGGGCAAUAGAUCAGAGGAUACUGCCAGUUUUUCUAAUGGAUUAUUGUUAUCGGGCAGGUUCUUCCUGAAGAGGAACAGCUGUAUCUUGAACCUCAUUAUGUGGCCUUGAUACAGUAACCACCUCUUCAGACCACUGUUAGAUUUGGCAAAGUUAAAAGCGAUUUACAUGGUGAAUUUUCUAAUCAAACACUAAACCUGUGCUAUGACUUGAUAAGAGUGCUACUGGACAUUGUGAAAGUGAAGUCAAAGAGAACAAAGAUUACAAAGAGUAUUUCUACUGUGGGAAAUCUGCAUCUAUCCCUCCAAGUAACUGUAUUCCUUUGAAAAGAUGUCAAGAUAUGUAGAGAUAUGAACAGCGUGGACCUUGGAUGCCCUCCAAUAGGUCAUCUGUCUGUGAUUAGAGGACCAAUAAGGUAGACCACGCAUCUGUCACACAGUACAGACUGAAAACAUUUUGUUUUCUAUUUUGUUUCCUAUUUUGUUUUGAAUCUCACAUGAAGUCCAAUGGAAGCCCUAAUACACAAAGAUUGCACUACAAGAAGAUCAUGAGCAAAGAUUUACAACCCAGAUUUUAAGGGGGUUUUGCAAGCUCACUUUUGAUCUUUGCCUCCAUAUAACAUGAGACCCUUUUGUUUCUAUAAUUGUAUAUUUACAGCAUAAGAAUGUGGCAUGGUCAGUGCAUAGAGUCAUUUCUACAUGGCUUAGUAAGGGUGAUGUGCAUCUUAACUAAUAUCAGUCAGCAAGGUUCUUCUUAUAAUUAUGGAGAGAAAGAAGAAUCUUCAAAUAAUGAUUCGUCAUCCUUAAGACAAUUACUUCAGAUAGAUGGGCUAAAUCACACUCUGGAGGGGCCAAAUGUGCUCCAUGGACAACUUUCCUGAAAACUUUAGAUUAUAUGUCUAACUUCCAGACUUUUAAAUAAGAUCUAAUUGAGAUCUUUAAGAUUUCUGAGUAGGAAUGAAUUUCACCAGUAAUAUAAACAAACAAACAAAUAAUCUUACCCAUCAUUUGCUUUGCAUUGGAGUCACAGUUCUUAGAAAGUCUCAGGAUUUCCUCUCUGCAGCAGCAAGGGAGUUGACCAGAGCGCUUGGCCCAAGACUUUGAGGUUUCACAGAUAUUUGCUAAAAGUCAGAUAAUGUAAAUGUUUAGGAAGCAUAGUUUUACAGCUGGCAAUGAGGGGAAGCAUGCUCUAUCUUUUUCAUUCAGUCAAGCAUUACUCCCUGUACUUAAAACUCCUCUUAUUGCUAUUCCUGGACAUUUGUUUGGAGACUCUACCUAUUGUUCAUAUACACCUCAUAUUUUCAAAGUAUUACAGUGCAGCUAAAUUUAAUUGGAUUUUUCUUUUUAAAAGACAACACUUUUUUUUUUCUUUCCUUCAAGUCUCUACACUAAUAUUAGGAAAUCCUCAGACAUUCCAACUAUUAAUUAUGGACAAAAAAAAGUGUCCCUUGCCUGGUCUCAUUCUUUGACAACAGCAUCAGGUGUCUGGUAUCUGUAAUUUCAGGACAAAUGGUCAGUGUCUAUCCAUCUUCUAAGUAACUGUAAAUUGCUAUUUUUAAACAGGAAUAUUGGGCAAUCAGCCUGUCCUUCCAGUUGUCAGUCCAUGCUUCUGGAUCAGCUUUCUGCAGCAGUUCUUAAGCAAUCUUAAUAUGAAUUGUAUGAUAGUUUAGUCUGCCACUCUGUGUAAAACAGCCCAUAGAAUUUCAUCCAGCAAAUCAGGCCAAUGGUUUUGUUUGAAUACUUUAUUCCACUUUAAAAAUGUAUACACAAAAGCUAUUAAGAAUGUAUCAAACAUAGUUCUUAUAAAUGCAGGCUGGAAAUUACUGGAUGCAAUGCACAGAUAUAUUGCCUAUUAGCUAUCAGAAUCAGUCACUCCAUAAACUUCAGAUUUGGGAUCUGGGCUUUCUGAGAAUGUUACCUAGCUGAGAAGUGAAUUCUUAUAGGUAAAGACAAGUGGAUAAAGAGAAUGUGGAUGUAUAUUUCCAAAAGAGUGAAAUUAUAAUAUAAUAUGUAAAUGCUUCUCUCCCACCCAUUCCUCAGUUUACAAAUGUAACAAUUAAAUAAAAUGUUGUGGUCAAAUUUCCAAUGAGUAAGAAGAUUUACUACCUGCUGAAUGAAACAUAAUCUAAAUAAUCUGAUGCAAUCUAUCAUAGAAUAAUAUCACAUUAUCACUCACAAAUGGGAAGUAUGGCUUUCACAGUUGCCAAGCUGUACUUAGCCACAUCUGAUGGUCUCCAUUAAUUUUUAACAAUAGUCCUGUCACCAGAUCAGUGAGCUGUAGAAAAUACCGUGGAGAUGUCACAUUCCUUGAUGAUUGCAGUUAAUGCUGCUGCCCCUUUGAAUCAGCAUGAAAUGUAGACAGUUUUAUGACUGAAUCUGCAAUCUGGGAUUUGAUCGUGCUAUUUAUAGCAUUGCUAAUGGUCUGUAGCACUGACAAGGGGUGUGUUGAAGUCAUUCUCUCAGUUACCCUUGUUUUCAUUUGUAAAGGCAGAGCAGACAUCUGGAUCCUACAUAUCAGUAACUAGACAGAAAAUAACAGUACAAAGAAGUCAUGACUUUCAGUGGUG